AUUCAGAUGACGAGUCCCCAAUAGGACGAAGUGUGCGUUCUGGAU
Molecule: non-coding RNA, 45 nt
Filed under: Trichobilharzia regenti
Lineage: Eukaryota; Metazoa; Platyhelminthes; Trematoda; Strigeidida; Schistosomatidae
Source: RNAcentral